This is a non-coding RNA of Acanthosepion pharaonis, 98 nucleotides long. NCBI's taxonomy places the organism in Eukaryota, Metazoa, Mollusca, Cephalopoda, Sepiida, Sepiidae. The record is from the annotation of a GenBank genome assembly.
GUUGAAACACCGGUUCCCGUACGAUUGCCGUAGUUAAGCAAUAUCGAGCCCGGUCAGUAUCUAGAUGGGUGACUGUUUGAGAAUGUCAGGUGCUGUAA